Molecule: ribosomal RNA, 301 nt
Filed under: uncultured bacterium
Lineage: Bacteria
Description: partial 16S ribosomal RNA
Rfam family: Bacterial small subunit ribosomal RNA
Source: RNAcentral
CAGCAGCCACGUGAAUACGGAGGGUGCAAGCGUUAAUCGGAAUUACUGGGCGUAAAGCGCACGCAGGCGGUCUGACAAGUCAGAUGUGAAAUCCCCGGGCUUAACCUGGGAACUGCAUUUGAAACUGUCAGGCUGGAGUCUUGUAGAGGGGGGUAGAAUUCCAGGUGUAGCGGUGAAAUGCGUAGAGAUCUGGAGGAAUACCGGUGGCGAAGGCGGCCCCCUGGACAAAGACUGACGCUCAGGUGCGAAAGCGUGGGGAGCAAACAGGAUUAGAUACCCCGGUAGUCCCUGUCUCUUAUAC